Molecule: transfer RNA, 56 nt
Filed under: Maratecoara lacortei
Lineage: Eukaryota; Metazoa; Chordata; Actinopteri; Cyprinodontiformes; Rivulidae
Description: tRNA-Cys
Source: RNAcentral
AGCCCUGUAAAUAGGAUUGCAAAUCUAGCACGCCGAUUAGUUAUCAGCCGGGGCUU